AGAACGAACGCUGGCGGCAUGCCUAACACAUGCAAGUCGAACGCGGGGAGCAAUCUCUGCGUGGCGCACGGGUGAGUAACGCGUGGGAACCUGCCCUCGAGUGGGGGAUAACCCGGCGAAAGCCGGGGUAAUACCGCAUACGUCCCGUAGCAAUACGGGAGAAAGAUUUAUCGCUCGAGGAGGGGCCCGCGUCGGAUUAGCUAGUUGGUGAGGUAACGGCUCACCAAGGCGAUGAUCCGUAGCUGGUCUGAGAGGAUGAUCAGCCACACUGGGACUGAGACACGGCCCAGACUCCUACGGGAGGCAGCAGUGGGGAAUAUUGGACAAUGGGCGCAAGCCUGAUCCAGCAAUGCCGCGUGAGUGAUGAAGGCCUUAGGGUUGUAAAGCUCUUUCGCACGCGACGAUGAUGACGGUAGCGUGAGAAGAAGCCCCGGCUAACUUCGUGCCAGCAGCCGCGGUAA
Molecule: ribosomal RNA, 461 nt
Filed under: uncultured bacterium
Lineage: Bacteria
Description: SSU rRNA
Rfam family: Bacterial small subunit ribosomal RNA
Source: RNAcentral